This is a non-coding RNA of Chrysochloris asiatica (Cape golden mole), 1488 nucleotides long. The record is from the annotation of a RefSeq genome assembly. NCBI's taxonomy places the organism in Eukaryota, Metazoa, Chordata, Mammalia, Afrosoricida, Chrysochloridae.
AUGGAGAUCGCAAAAUCCAUCAAAGGCCCCUCUGUCUUUCCCUUGGUUUUAUGCUGUAAUGAUAAACCCACUGUGACAUUGGGCUGCCUGGCAACUGACUUCAUCCCAGAGCCAGUGACCAUUGACUGGGACACUGGUUCCCUGAAUAGCAGUACUGUGUCCUUCCCUGCCACCUUCCGUGAGACCUCCAAAUCCAACAUCGCUGUGGGUCUCGUGACUGUGUCUGGUGAGUGGUCCAAACAGAAGUUCACCUGCAGCGUGAAGCAUGAACUGUCCAACAGUAACAUCAAGAAGACCAUUACAGCCCCAACCCUCUCACUUUCACCCUGUUCCACCUCUCCCACUGUGAAGAUCUACCAUGCAGCCUGUGAUCACCGUGGCUAUUCCCAGGCCACCAUCCAUCUGCUUUGCCUCAUUACCAACUUUGCCCCGGGGAAUGUUGAAGUCACCUGGCUAGUAAAUGGAGAGAAAGAUCAAAACCUCAACUCAAUCACAGCCCCACUCAAGCAGGAUGGCAAGUUGGCCUCCACCUACAGUAAGCUCAUAAUUACCAAGGACCAGUGGAUACCAGAAAAGAACUACACCUGCGAGGUCACCUCCCACGGCAGGUCCUAUAAAUCCACUACCCAGAUGUGCUUAGAUCCUGAAUCCAGAGGAGUGAGUGUCUAUCUCAGCCCUCCCAGCCCCACUGACCUUUACAUAAAAAAUUCACCUAGGCUCACCUGCCUAGUGGUCGACUUGGCCAGUGAGAAGGGGGUGAGUGUAAAUUGGUCAUGGAGCAAGAAUUUUGUGAAUGACAACAAGUUCAAUGUCAGGAGGCAAAUGAAUGCAACAGUCACCAUCACAUCUACCCUGCCAGUGGACGCCAAGGACUGGAUCCAGGGCGAGACUUACCAUUGUGUGGUGUCCCACCCACAUCUGCCCAGGGAAAUCGAGCAAUCUAUCUCUAAGCCCCAGGGCAAGCGUUUGACCCCUGAUAUCUACGUGUUCUCACCACCUGAAGAUAAGCAGGGAGAUAGGUUCAUCCUUACCUGUCUAGCCCAGAACUUCUUCCCCUCCGACAUCACAGUGCAGUGGCUGAGCAACCAGAAUCUCAUAGAGUCAGAACGGAUCCACACCACUGGGCCCUAUCCGACCAGCAACUCUAGAAAAACAUUCUUCACUGUUAGUGUCCUGGAGGUCCAGAAGUCUGAGUGGGAGAAGAACAGGUUCAUCUGCCGUGUAGUCCAUGAGGCACUGUCCAAUGGGAGGAUUAAGGAUGUAAUGGUGUCAAAAAACUCCGAGGUAGACCUUCAGGACCUGUGUGUGGAGGAGACUGAGAGCAAGGAAUUAGAGGAGCUUUGGACCAGUACCUGCAUCUUCAUCACUCUCUUCCUGCUCAGUGUGAGCUAUAGUGCCAUGAUCACAGUCUUCAAGGUACAAUGGGUCUUCUCAGCCAUGUUGCAGAGGAAGCUCCAGAAUUCACAUGAUUAUAAUAACGUCAUGUAG